AGGAUGAACGCUGGCGGCGUGCUUAACACAUGCAAGUCGAACGAUGAAGGCUGGAGCUUGCUCUGGCUGGAUUAGUGGCGAACGGGUGAGUAACACGUGAGUAACCUGCCCCUGACUCUGGGAUAAGCGCUGGAAACGGCGUCUAAUACCGGAUACGAGCUUCCACCGCAUGGUGAGGGCUGGAAGAAUUUCGGUCUGGGAUGGACUCGCGGCCUAUCAGCUUGUUGGUGAGGUAAUGGCUCACCAAGGCGACGACGGGUAGCCGGCCUGAGAGGGUGACCGGCCACACUGGGACUGAGACACGGCCCAGACUCCUACGGGAGGCAGCAGUGGGGAAUAUUGCACAAUGGGCGCAAGCCUGAUGGCAGCAACGCCGCGUGAGGACGAAGGCCUUACGGUUGUAAACCCUCGUUUUAGUAGGUAAGAAGGACGAAAGGUGACGGUACUGGACCAAGAAAAGCAACCGGACUAACUACGGUGACCCGAGCCAGGCCCGAGGUAACUCGUAGGA
This 511-nucleotide ribosomal RNA is filed under the name uncultured soil bacterium. RNAcentral describes it as "bacterial SSU rRNA". It matches the Rfam family "Bacterial small subunit ribosomal RNA", at positions 26 to 532 of the family's 1533-position model. The record is from RNAcentral.